UAGGGAAUCUUCGGCAAUGGGGGCAACCCUGACCGAGCAACGCCGCGUGAGUGAAGAAGGUUUUCGGAUCGUAAAGCUCUGUUGUAAGAGAAGAACGUGUGUGAGAGUGGAAAGUUCACACAGUGACGGUAACUUACCAGAGAGGGACGGCUAACUACGUGCCAGCAGCCGCGGUAAUACGUAGGUCCCGAGCGUUGUCCGGAUUUAUUGGGCGUAAAGCGAGCGCAGGCGGUUUAAUAAGUCUGAAGUUAAAGGCAGUGGCUUAACCAUUGUUCGCUUUGGAAACUGUUAAACUUGAGUGCAGAAGGGGAGAGUGGAAUUCCAUGUGUAGCGGUGAAAUGCGUAGAUAUAUGGAGGAACACCGGUGGCGAAAGCGGCUCUCUGGUCUGUAACUGACGCUGAGGCUCGAAAGCGUGGGGAGCAAACAGG
Molecule: ribosomal RNA, 429 nt
Filed under: bacterium
Lineage: Bacteria
Description: partial 16S ribosomal RNA
Rfam family: Bacterial small subunit ribosomal RNA
Source: RNAcentral